Long non-coding RNA from Tachysurus fulvidraco (yellow catfish), 1241 nucleotides. RefSeq lists it as uncharacterized. Lineage: Eukaryota; Metazoa; Chordata; Actinopteri; Siluriformes; Bagridae. The record is from RefSeq and is a predicted model, not a curated record. The transcript has 3 exons.
UGAGUGUUUGUGCGUGAGUGUGUGUGUGUGUGUGUGAGAGAGAGAGAGAGUGUGAGUGUAUGUAUGAGUGUGAGAGGGGAAAGAGGUUAAGUCCCCCGCGUUGCCUGCACUGGGGGAAGCACGCAGCUAGAGAUCGAUUCUUAUUUAGAUGAAAAUGAGGCCGAAAGCGCAUCUGCCUCGAACAGUGAACCAGGACGUCUAAUUCCGACCGGGAUUUAAAAACAACACCAAGCCUAUUUUCUGGAGGAAGGUGUGUGGAAAUUCUCCAGGGUGAUAAUCACGUCCAGGGCACCUGCUGUCAUUUAAGAUCAAGUCAAAGUUGGAGUUGGAGCUGGAGUUUUCCUUUAAACUUUAAACAGUGCUUGGAAUGACAAUGAGGAGAAAAGUCAGAAACUAAUCAGGAAGAAAGAGAGAGAGAGAGAGAUUAAGCAAACACGACCCAAACUUUAUCUGAUUGAUUAGCCGUAGAUUGCAGGAGAGAGAUGUGCCGAGCGUCAGCAUAAAACUGCAGCUUGGUCUGUCCUGUUCUCCUGCUCGGACACUGACCGCCUCGCCUUUCCAUCAUAAUCCAGCAGAUGUUUUUUUUUGAUGUCACCAAACUGCAGAAAAACCUUAAAAAUAUGCAGAGCACUCAGGUUUAAUCUGCACCUGUGAGUAGAAGGACUGUAGAAGUCUUCUGUGUUGAAUGUUGAAUGAAUAAAGCUGGAAAGAAUUCAACAGUAUAAUCUGGAGGACUUUUGCAGAACAUUUUUUUAUAUGAAUAAAGCAACCUUCAAAGUAUUCUGAUCAAAAUGGUCAGAAAAUGUGCUACUCUUCAGCUCGAGUCUCUCUUCUAUUUUUCCCCCUUCUAUUUUCUUGAGAUUUUUUUGUCUGCUUUUUAUUUCUCUCAUCCCAAAUGAUGAAAGUGAUCAAACCAAACUUUAUCCUGAAAGAUGCCAAAAAUUUCAAGAUUGUAGCCAUUAGCUCCAGACCUGUACAGCUGUGUGUAAAAGUUUGUACACCCUGAGAACACAUGUCUGUUGAGACAUCUAGCCUGCAAUGUUUUUUCUUUAUCCAGAGAAACACACAUGGACAAAUGAUGCAUAUUAAAUAUCGUAAUAGUUGAAAGAAAAUAAAUUUAAUUCAAUUCAAAAGAUGAUGUGCUAUUUUCAUUCAAUGUGACACAAAAAUUUCUUAAUAUACAUGCUCAGUCAUGCGUUUAUAUAUUUCUUUUUUAUGAAAUAUAUUUCUUUUGAGUAGGA